This 238-nucleotide long non-coding RNA is filed under the name Dromaius novaehollandiae (emu). Its description in RNAcentral is "lncRNA (ENSDNVG00000004527.1)". Lineage: Eukaryota; Metazoa; Chordata; Aves; Casuariiformes; Dromaiidae. The record is from RNAcentral.
GGGGGUAUAUAAAUCUGUGCUGAACGGUUGCAGUUGAAUGGCAGGAGCGCGAUGCUCGGCUCCGUCGGUGCCACGGGCACACGCACACCCGAGGGGUGGGGGGAAGGAGAAGAGGGAGGCACAGUCAUCUGACCCCCUUUCCUCCCCCCUUCCCCCCCCCCCAAAAAAAUCCCUUUUGAGCAUCUUGCCAUCAGGAGAGCUGUCACUCACUCGUCAAGCCAUUUAUUUCAUCCAAUAA